AAGUCGUAACAAGGUUUCCGUAGGUGAACCUGCGGAAGGAUCAUUACCGAAACAAAAACCAAAAAACAAGGCUCACCAAGCUCUGCUCCGGCGGAGCUGGUGUGGUUCCUUUGAGCUGGCUGCACUUGAUGAAAAAAUGGUUGCAGACUGGCAAAAACUCUCAGCGAGUCUUCCUUGCCCUUAGCGGGGUAAGGGAGCACCGUUUGAAAAAAUUUUGUAACCAAGCAAUAUACACACACAUGCAAUAAGCAAAAAUUUUGAAAAACAAGCAAUAAACGAAAAACAAAAAGACGAAAUAAAAACCUCGAGUGGUGGAUCACUCGGCUCGUGG
This 331-nucleotide unclassified non-coding RNA is filed under the name fungal sp. RNAcentral describes it as "partial internal transcribed spacer region". The stretch from base 1 to 46 matches the Rfam family "Eukaryotic small subunit ribosomal RNA", at positions 1786 to 1831 of the family's 1831-position model. The record is from RNAcentral. Lineage: Eukaryota; Fungi.